GGGGAUGUGGUGUAACGGGAGCACACCGCGGUCGCAUCGCGGGAAUGAGGGUUCGAUUCCCUCCAUCUCCA
This 71-nucleotide transfer RNA is filed under the name Phycisphaerae bacterium. Its description in RNAcentral is "tRNA-Ala". It matches the Rfam family "tRNA". Rfam says of the family: Transfer RNA (tRNA) molecules are approximately 80 nucleotides in length. Lineage: Bacteria; Pseudomonadati; Planctomycetota; Phycisphaerae. The record is from RNAcentral.